UACGUAGGGUGCAAGCGUUGUCCGGAAUUAUUGGGCGUAAAGAGCUCGUAGGCGGUCUGUCGCGUCGGCUGUGAAAUCCCGAGGCUCAACCUCGGGUCUGCAGUCGAUACGGGCAAACUGGAGUGUUGCAGGGGAGACUGGAAUUCCUGGUGUAGCGGUGAAAUUCGUAGAUAUUCGGAAGAACACCAGUGGCGAAGGCGAGUCUCUGGACAUUUCCUAACGCUGAGGCACGAAAGCCAGGGGAGCAAACGGG
Molecule: ribosomal RNA, 253 nt
Filed under: uncultured bacterium
Lineage: Bacteria
Description: partial 16S ribosomal RNA
Rfam family: Bacterial small subunit ribosomal RNA
Source: RNAcentral